RNAcentral lists this ribosomal RNA (492 nucleotides) under uncultured bacterium. RNAcentral describes it as "partial 16S ribosomal RNA". It matches the Rfam family "Bacterial small subunit ribosomal RNA", at positions 29 to 507 of the family's 1533-position model. The record is from RNAcentral.
AGUGAACGCUGGCGGUAGGCCUAACACAUGCAAGUCGAACGGCAGCACAGUAAGAGCUUGCUCUUACGGGUGGCGAGUGGCGGACGGGUGAUGAAUACAUCGGAAUCUACUUUUUCGUGGGGGAUAACGUAGGGAAACUUACGCUAAUACCGCAUACGACCUACGGGUGAAAGCAGGGGAUCUUCGGACCUUGCGCGAUUGAAUGAGCCGAUGUCGGAUUAGCUAGUUGGCGGGGUAAAGGCCCACCAAGGCGACGAUCCGUAGCUGGUCUGAGAGGAUGAUCAGCCACACUGGAACUGAGACACGGUCCAGACUCCUACGGGAGGCAGCAGUGGGGAAUAUUGGACAAUGGGCGCAAGCCUGAUCCAGCCAUACCGCGUGAGUGAAGAAGGCCUUCGGGUUGUAAAGCCCUUUUGUUGGGAAAGAAAAGCAGCAGGUUAAUACCCCGCUGUUCUGACGGUACCCAAAGAAUAAGCACCGGCUAACUUCGUG